GCGGUAGAGCAGCGGUUUAGCACGCGCCUCCGGAAAGGGUGAAAUCUGAGUUUGAAUCCCAGCUGAUGCA
Molecule: non-coding RNA, 70 nt
Organism: Parelaphostrongylus tenuis
Lineage: Eukaryota; Metazoa; Nematoda; Chromadorea; Rhabditida; Metastrongylidae
Source: the annotation of a GenBank genome assembly